RNAcentral lists this long non-coding RNA (200 nucleotides) under Homo sapiens (human). RNAcentral describes it as "HSALNT0242314". Lineage: Eukaryota; Metazoa; Chordata; Mammalia; Primates; Hominidae. The record is from RNAcentral.
UCUUGCUGAUGUACCAGUUCUUCUGGGCCACACUGGGCUGAGUGGGGUACACGCAGGUCUCACCAGUCUCCAUGUUGCAGAAGACUUUGAUGGCAUCCAGGCUCUUGAGGGUGGUGUCCACCUCGAGGUCACGGUCACGAACCACAUUGGCAUCAUCAGCCCGGUAGUAGCGGCCACCAUCGUGAGCCUUCUCUUGAGGU